This 253-nucleotide ribosomal RNA is filed under the name uncultured bacterium. RNAcentral's name for it is "partial 16S ribosomal RNA". It matches the Rfam family "Bacterial small subunit ribosomal RNA", at positions 524 to 776 of the family's 1533-position model. The record is from RNAcentral.
GACAGAGGAUGCAAGCGUUAUCCGGAAUGAUUGGGCGUAAAGCGUCUGUAGGUGGCUUUUUAAGUCCGCCGUCAAAUCCCAGGGCUCAACCCUGGACAGGCGGUGGAAACUACCAAGCUGGAGUACGGUAGGGGCAGAGGGAAUUUCCGGUGGAGCGGUGAAAUGCGUAGAUAUCUGGAGGAACAUCAGUGGCGAAAGCGGCUUCCUGGUCCAACAUUGACAUUCAGGUGCGAAAGCGUGGGGAGCAAACAGG